This 161-nucleotide ribosomal RNA is filed under the name Amanita sp. AD-C55022. RNAcentral describes it as "5.8S ribosomal RNA". It matches the Rfam family "5.8S ribosomal RNA". From Rfam's summary of the family: 5.8S ribosomal RNA (5.8S rRNA) is a component of the large subunit of the eukaryotic ribosome. It is transcribed by RNA polymerase I as part of the 45S precursor that also contains 18S and 28S rRNA. RNAcentral also lists the same sequence under 1 other name. Lineage: Eukaryota; Fungi; Basidiomycota; Agaricomycetes; Agaricales; Amanitaceae. The record is from RNAcentral.
AUAACUUUCAACAAUGGAUCUCUUGGCUCUCGCAUCGAUGAAGAACGCAGCGAAAUGCGAUAAGUAAUGUGAAUUGCAGAAUUCAGUGAAUCAUCGAAUCUUUGAACGCACCUUGCGCUCCUUGGUAUUCCGAGGAGCAUGCCUGUUUGAGUGUCGUUAAA